RNAcentral lists this ribosomal RNA (460 nucleotides) under uncultured bacterium. RNAcentral describes it as "partial 16S ribosomal RNA". It matches the Rfam family "Bacterial small subunit ribosomal RNA", at positions 338 to 795 of the family's 1533-position model. The record is from RNAcentral.
CCUACGGGUGGCAGCAGUGAGGAAUAUUGGUCAAUGGGCGGGAGCCUGAACCAGCCAAGUCGCGUGAGGGAUGACGGCCCUAUGGGUUGUAAACCUCUUUUGCCGGGGAGCAAAGUGCCGCACGUGUUCGGUUUGGAGAGUACCCGGAGAAAAAGCAUCGGCUAACUCCGUGCCAGCAGCCGCGGUAAUACGGAGGAUGCGAGCGUUAUCCGGAUUUAUUGGGCGUAAAGAGUUCGUAGGCGGCAUGUAAAGUCAGGUGUUAAAGGCGCAGGCUCAACCUGUGUAUGGCACUUGAUACUUGCAAGCUGGAAUGCGGUAGAGGAAAAGGGAAUUCCUGGUGUAGCGGUGAAAUGCUUAGAUAUCAGGAGGAACAUCGGUGGCGUAAGCGCUUUACUGGGCCGUAAUUGACGCUGAGGAACGAAAGCCAGGGUAGCAAAUGGGAUUAGAUACCCUUGUAGUC